This 178-nucleotide ribosomal RNA is filed under the name uncultured bacterium. RNAcentral's name for it is "partial 16S ribosomal RNA". It matches the Rfam family "Bacterial small subunit ribosomal RNA", at positions 332 to 526 of the family's 1533-position model. The record is from RNAcentral.
AUUACUCCUACGGGAGGCAGCAGUGGGGAAUAUUGGACAAUGGGGGCAACCCUGAUCCAGCCAUGCCGCGUGAGUGAUGAAGGCCUUAGGGUUGUAAAACUCUUUUGUCCGGGAAGAUAAUGACUGUACCGGAAGAAUAAGCCCCGGCUAACUUCGUGCCAGCAGCCGCGGUAAUAAU